CAGCAGCCGCGGGAAUACGUAGGGUGCAAGCGUUAUCCGGAAUUAUUGGGCGUAAAGAGCUCGUAGGCGGUUUGUCGCGUCUGCUGUGAAAACUGGAGGUUCAACCUCCAGCCUGCAGUGGGUACGGGCAGACUAGAGUGCGGUAGGGGAGAUUGGAAUUCCUGGUGUAGCGGUGGAAUGCGCAGAUAUCAGGAGGAACACCGAUGGCGAAGGCAGAUCUCUGGGCCGUAACUGACGCUGAGGAGCGAAAGCGUGGGGAGCGAACAGGAUUAGAUACCCGCGUAGUCCCUGUCUCUUAUAC
RNAcentral lists this ribosomal RNA (301 nucleotides) under uncultured bacterium. Its description in RNAcentral is "partial 16S ribosomal RNA". It matches the Rfam family "Bacterial small subunit ribosomal RNA", at positions 509 to 807 of the family's 1533-position model. The record is from RNAcentral.